AUUUGAUAGACUGUACUUCAGUAAAUCUAAUGAUUAAUAUUUUAUUGUAAUAAUAAUUAAUUGUAUGUAAUAUAUUUUCUCUUGUAGGAGACGGGGAAACUACAUUGAAGACUAAUACAUCCAAUUCUAGCAAAUUUCUGUGAAGCAGACUCCCGUGUUCGCUUUAUGCAUGUGAGUCUUUGUACAACGUUGUAAAAAUAGCUAGGAGCUCUAUUCUCCACACUUUGCAGAAAUAUUCGUGCUCUAAGCAAGCUAGCAGUGAUCCUGAAAUGUGAAGAAUGGCUCCGAACUGUUAGAUCGAUUAUUAAAGGUGUGAAACUUUACUUGGUGAGUUUCUACGCAACAUAAAAUUGAAUCCUGAUAAAGCCAAUUUCCAGACAUGAUCAAUGUUUAAUGUCCAUGCUCAGUCACCAGACAGCCUGUUGCAAUAUACAGCUGUCACAUGGAUCAAGGAGUUUGUUCAGUUAUCUGGCGAUUCAAUGCUUCCAUACGUAUCGGCAUACUCACCGCAAUUCUGCCUGCGUAGCCUAUGAAGAAGAUUCACAGAACGUAUCCUCUUAAUCUCACUAAAAUAAAAUGUUAUUUUCUUGAGCAGGCACAUGAAGAGAUCAUCUCUCAAUGCUAGAAUUCGAUGUUUUAUUGAAUUAGUGAAUUUUGAAGAGUUUAGACCUCAUCUUCGAGUUGCUCAAUUGCUCUUGUACAAGAUUCAAAAGAUCGCAAAGCAAAAAUAAGGCUAAACGCAAGUCAUUAUCACUCCUAGAUUUUUAGACAUUACAGGAGCUACCUUACUCUUUUGUGCCAAAACAAUUCCCUCUGAGCAUUCAGUUUGCCAAAUGUUCUUAGAUAAAAUAUGAAGUUUCAGGGAAACUUGUGUAUAUUUUUUGUCCAAUGUUUUGAUGUAGGUGUUUUGCCUUUUUCUCUAUACAUGCUCUAAUUCAAUUGAAAGAAAUAUUCCGAAAAAAUUGGCUCUUCUUCACUUACAUGUUCAAUCAGUGAAUGAAUGAUAUGCACAUGUCAAUGGUCAAGUUCAAAACCACUUAUUUCCAUUGCAGUGUUUCAAAUUCUGCUAUUAUUUUAUAUUUUGAAGAAAACAAGUGAUUAUGUAGCAUCACGUCCAUGAUAUUGGACUCCAUGCUCACCCUUGAUAUAUUGUCUGCUCAUCUCGUCCAAGAUCCUGGACUCCAUGCUCAUCGCUAAACUUCUCACUUCUUUGCUUGAGCAUGG
This 1224-nucleotide long non-coding RNA is filed under the name Bemisia tabaci. RNAcentral describes it as "lncRNA ENSSWEETPG007987". The record is from RNAcentral. Lineage: Eukaryota; Metazoa; Arthropoda; Insecta; Hemiptera; Aleyrodidae.